This 492-nucleotide ribosomal RNA is filed under the name uncultured bacterium. RNAcentral describes it as "partial 16S ribosomal RNA". It matches the Rfam family "Bacterial small subunit ribosomal RNA", at positions 29 to 507 of the family's 1533-position model. The record is from RNAcentral.
AGUGAACGCUGGCGGUAGGCCUAACACAUGCAAGUCGAACGGCAGCACAGUAAGAUCUUGCUCUUACGGGUGGCGAGUGGCGGACGGGUGAGGAAUACAUCGGAAUCUACUUUUUCGUGGGGGAUAACGUAGGGAAACUUACGCUAAUACCGCAUACGACCUACGGGUGAAAGCAGGGGAUCUUCGGACCUUGCGCGAUUGAAUGAGCCGAUGUCGGAUUAGCUAGUUGGCGGGGUAAAGGCCCACCAAGGCGACGAUCCGUAGCUGGUCUGAGAGGAUGAUCAGCCACACUGGAACUGAGACACGGUCCAGACUCCUACGGGAGGCAGCAGUGGGGAAUAUUGGACAAUGGGCGAAAGCCUGAUCCAGAAAUACCGCGUGGGUGAAGAAGGCCUUCGGGUUGUAAAGCCCUUUUGUUGGGAAAGAAAAGCAGCAGGUUAAUACCCCGCUGUUCUGACGGUACCCAAAGAAUAAGCACCGGCUAACUUCGUG